UUCGAUCUCAAAUCAGGUAGGACUACCCGCUGAACUUAAGCAUAUCAAUAAGCGGAGGAAAAGAAACUAACAAGGAUUCCCCUAGUAACUGCGAGUGAAGCGGGAAGAGCUCAAAUUUAAAAUCUGGCGCGCCUCUGGUCGUCCGAGUUGUAGUCUGGAGAAGUGUUUUCCGUGUUGGACCGUGUAUAAGUCUCUUGGAACAGGGCGUCAUA
This 212-nucleotide ribosomal RNA is filed under the name Tomentella sp. O53. RNAcentral's name for it is "partial 28S ribosomal RNA". It matches the Rfam family "Eukaryotic large subunit ribosomal RNA", at positions 1 to 207 of the family's 3401-position model. The record is from RNAcentral. Lineage: Eukaryota; Fungi; Basidiomycota; Agaricomycetes; Thelephorales; Thelephoraceae.